GGUUUAGGGUCUGUGUAGGGUUUACUAGGGUUUAGGGUCUGUGUAGGGUUUACUAGGGUUUAGGGUUUACUGGGGUUUAGGGUCUGUGUAGGGUUUACUGGGGUUUAGGGUCUGUGUAGGGUUUACUGGGGUUUAGGGUCUGUGUAGGGUUUACUGGGGUUUAGGGUCUGUGUAGGGUUUACUGGGGUUUAGGCUCUGUGUAGGGUUUAGGGUCUGGGUAGGGUUUACUAGGGUUUAGGGUCUGUGUAGGGUUUACUGGGGUUUAGGGUCUGUGUAGGGUUUACUGGGGUUUGGGUAGUCAUAUACUGAAUGAAAUCUGCACUAUGUAGGCUACGGUAUGCAGGUGUACUGUACGUGAAUCAAUAACAGUGAGGAUUUGUUUGCUUCCACACUGUACAGGGGGCUAACAAUCACAUACUGUAACUAUCCAGGGUUUUAUUUAUUAGGUACCAAAUGGAAGAAAAUCGACUGAAAAAGGGGACUGCCUGGACUUGUCCAUAAAAAUCACUAGUUUAAAUUUGAUUUCACAAUGUUUUACUACAGUGUGCCCUACUGAACAGGACCAAGGGUCAUAGUGCAACUUAAUCAGGAAAAUGUUCACCUACCCCAGUAACGAAAAAGUGACCUUGGAUCUGACUGAGCAUGUAUAAAAAUGCACUGUAACCUCUGUUUUGUGACCUGUUUUUGGAGGAGCUUUGCACACAGCUUUACUACCCAAACACCUCUUAUCAAGAAGACCUUCCCUCAGUCCAGACUUGUUAGCGGUGUGGUUGAAGCCACUGAAACUGGCCUAGCUGCAAAACAAACCCACUUGAAUCCAGCUGGAUGGUUGCUGUAUGAUCCAGUAUGAAUCCAGCUGGAUGGUUGCUGUAUGACCCAGUCUGAAUCCAGCUGGAUGGUUGCGGUAGGAUCCAGUCUCUGUGAACAUCCAGGUAUUUAAAGCAACGACCAUAAGGCUGUGUGUUUUCACAGGUCCCUUUCCCCCAAAGUUGGAUUCGCUGUCCUCUUCGUGGGGGAGGAGCACCACUGUCCCUCUUUCAGUCAAGACUGGGUUUAGUGUUCUAUCAUAAAAUAUGGUUUAUUUUUAUUAUUUUUUGUAUUAAGAAUUUGUACAUGACAUCUUACCUGCCAUUGAAGUUUUGGAUUUGAUUUAGUUUUUUAAAUUCACCUACAUUUGAAAAUAAAGAUGAUUUGAAACAGG
Molecule: long non-coding RNA, 1201 nt
Filed under: Salmo salar (Atlantic salmon)
Lineage: Eukaryota; Metazoa; Chordata; Actinopteri; Salmoniformes; Salmonidae
Description: lncRNA (ENSSSAG00000110852.1)
Source: RNAcentral